RNAcentral lists this ribosomal RNA (253 nucleotides) under uncultured bacterium. RNAcentral's name for it is "partial 16S ribosomal RNA". It matches the Rfam family "Bacterial small subunit ribosomal RNA", at positions 524 to 776 of the family's 1533-position model. The record is from RNAcentral.
GACGAACCGUGCGAACGUUGUUCGGAUUCACUGGGCUUAAAGGGCGCGUAGGCGGGCUGCCAAGUCAGGGGUGAAAUCCUCCGGCUCAACCGGAGAACAGCCUCUGAUACUGGCAGCCUUGAGGGAGGUAGGGACAGGUGGAACUUCUGGUGGAGCGGUGAAAUGCGUAGAUAUCAGAAGGAACGCCGGUGGCGAAAGCGACCUGCUGGACCUCUUCUGACGCUGAGGCGCGAAAGCUAGGGGAGCAAACGGG